RNAcentral lists this ribosomal RNA (346 nucleotides) under uncultured Anoxybacillus sp. RNAcentral's name for it is "bacterial SSU rRNA". It matches the Rfam family "Bacterial small subunit ribosomal RNA", at positions 1036 to 1382 of the family's 1533-position model. Lineage: Bacteria; Bacillati; Bacillota; Bacilli; Caryophanales; Anoxybacillaceae. The record is from RNAcentral.
GGUGGUGGCAUGGUUGUCGUCAGCUCGUGUCGUGAGAUGUUGGGUUAAGUCCCGCAACGAGCGCAACCCUCGACCUUAGUUGCCAGCAUUCAGUUGGGCACUCUAAGGUGACUGCCGGCUAAAAGUCGGAGGAAGGUGGGGAUGACGUCAAAUCAUCAUGCCCCUUAUGACCUGGGCUACACACGUGCUACAAUGGGCGGUACAAAGGGUCGCGAACCCGCGAGGGGGGAGCCAAUCCCAAAAAGCCGCUCUCAGUUCGGAUUGCAGGCUGCAACUCGCCUGCAUGAAGCCGGAAUCGCUAGUAAUCGCGGAUCAGCAUGCCGCGGUGAAUACGUUCCCGGGCCUU